This 583-nucleotide long non-coding RNA is filed under the name Gossypium raimondii (Peruvian cotton). Its description in RNAcentral is "long non-coding RNA (GRAI_LNC004420)". Lineage: Eukaryota; Viridiplantae; Streptophyta; Magnoliopsida; Malvales; Malvaceae. The record is from RNAcentral.
CAAGGCCAUGUUAAUACUUGAGUUAAUUUUUCAAAUUUAAUUACAAGUCAGAUAGUACAAGGGCCAUAGACACAACACGGGCCUAAACACGACCGUGUCCCCCUUUAAAACCCUAAUCCCCAUUUUAUUUUUAUUUUUUUCCUUAUCCCAAAGCCCCCACAUCGCCGCUCUGCCUCUACCUAUGUUAACCCCCAUUUCGACCACCGUCUUCUUCGCCCCCUUCUUCUCUCAUUUCCAUACACGUCAGCCACCGUCGCCGCCCCACCCACGAUUCCCUUCCUUCCCCUUUCCCCUUUCUUCCUCCCCUAAACUCUUCGCACCCCUACAUCCUACACCACCGCGCAUAGCCCACCUCGGCCCCCAUCCUCGAGACCCUACCUCCCUUCCUCCUUCGACAAAAUGCGUCCAAGCCAUUCGUGCACGAACAACUUUUCCCCUCUCCCCUCUCCCCGUGCCCUUUUCCCUUUCCCCUCAUUUUCUUCCUUCAUUAUCGACCCAACCACCCUCACCCUCACCCCGACCCUGAUUUCCCCCUUCCUUUUCAUCACACUGGUCGUUUGCCCCCUCUCCUACUCAUUUUCCC